RNAcentral lists this ribosomal RNA (492 nucleotides) under uncultured bacterium. Its description in RNAcentral is "partial 16S ribosomal RNA". It matches the Rfam family "Bacterial small subunit ribosomal RNA", at positions 29 to 507 of the family's 1533-position model. The record is from RNAcentral.
AGUGAACGCUGGCGGUAGGCCUAACACAUGCAAGUCGAACGGCAGCACAGUAAGAGCUUGCUCUUACGGGUGGCGAGUGGCGGACGGGUGAGGAAUACAUCGGAAUCUACUUUUUCGUGGGGGAUAACGUAGGGAAACUUACGCUAAUACCGCAUACGACCUCCGUGUGAAAGCAGGGGAUCUUCGGACCUUGCGCGAUUGAAUGAGCCUAUGUCGGAUUAGCUAGUUGGCGGGGGAAAGGCCCACCAAGGCGACGAUGCGUAGCUGGUCUGAGAGGAUGAUCAGCCACAUGGGAACUGAGAAACGGUCCAGACACCUACGGGAGGCAGCAGUGGGGAAUAUUGGACAAUGGGCGCAAGCCUGAUCCAGCCAUACCGCGUGGGGGAAGAAGGACUUAGGGUUGUAAAGCCCUUUUGUUGGGAAAGAAAAGCAGCAGGUUAAUACCCCGCUGUUAUGACGGUACCCAAAGAAUAAGCACCGGCUAACUUCGUG